This 357-nucleotide ribosomal RNA is filed under the name uncultured fungus. Its description in RNAcentral is "SSU rRNA". It matches the Rfam family "Eukaryotic small subunit ribosomal RNA", at positions 20 to 371 of the family's 1831-position model. Lineage: Eukaryota; Fungi. The record is from RNAcentral.
GUAGUCAUAUGCUUGUCUCAAAGAUUAAGCCAUGCAUGUCUAAGUAUAAACAACUUUAUACUGUAAAACUGCGAACGGCUCAUUAUAUCAGCAAUAAUUUAUUUGAUGAUUUCUUACUACAUGGAUAACUGUAGUAAUUCUAGAGCUAAUACAUGCGCAAAGUCCUAACUCGCGAGGGGAGGGAUGUAUUUAUUAGAUACAAAACCAAUGCGGGUUCUGCCCGCCAUUGUGUUGAAUCAUAGUAACUUAUCGAACGCCAUAGCCUUGUGCUGGGCGUAGAUCAUUCAAAUUUCUGCCCUAUCAGCUUUCGACGGUAGUGUAGUGGACUACCGUGGCGUUAACGGGUAACGGGGAAUA